RNAcentral lists this ribosomal RNA (256 nucleotides) under uncultured bacterium. RNAcentral describes it as "partial 16S ribosomal RNA". It matches the Rfam family "Bacterial small subunit ribosomal RNA", at positions 524 to 776 of the family's 1533-position model. The record is from RNAcentral.
UACGUAGGGGGCAAGCGUUGUCCGGAUUUAUUGGGCGUAAAGAGCGUGUAGGCGGCCAUACAGGGUCAGCUGUGAAAACUCGAGGCUCAACCUCGAGACGUCGGUUGAAACCGUAUGGCUAGAGUCCGGAAGAGGAGAGUGGAAUUCCCGGUGUAGCGGUGAAAUGCGCAGAUAUCGGGAAGAACACCCGUGGCGAAGGCGGCUACUCUGGGACGGGUACUGGACGCUGAGACGCGAAACGUGGGGAGCGAACAGG